AUUGAACGCUGGCGGCAUGCCUUACACAUGCAAGUCGAACGGUAACAGGUUAAGCUGACGAGUGGCGAACGGGUGAGUAAUGUAUCGGAACGUGCCCAGUCGUGGGGGAUAGCUGCUCGAAAGAGCAGCUAAUACCGCAUACGACCUGAGGGUGAAAGCGGGGGAUCGCAAGACCUCGCGCGGUUGGAGCGGCCGAUAUCAGAUUAGGUAGUUGGUGAGGUAAAGGCUCACCAAGCCGACGAUCUGUAGCUGGUCUGAGAGGACGACCAGCCACACUGGGACUGAGACACGGCCCAGACUCCUACGGGAGGCAGCAGUGGGGAAUUUUGGACAAUGGGCGCAAGCCUGAUCCAGCCAUGCCGCGUGCGGGAAGAAGGCCUUCGGGUUGUAAACCGCUUUUGUCAGGGAAGAAAAGGUUCUGGCUAAUACCUGGGACUCAUGACGGUACCUGAAGAAUAAGCACCGGCUAACUACGUG
This 477-nucleotide ribosomal RNA is filed under the name uncultured bacterium. RNAcentral's name for it is "partial 16S ribosomal RNA". It matches the Rfam family "Bacterial small subunit ribosomal RNA", at positions 30 to 507 of the family's 1533-position model. The record is from RNAcentral.